ACAUGCAAGCCGAACGGCAAGUUGAGUAGCAAUACUUGACCUAGAGUGGCGUAAGGGUGCGUAACACGUAUGCAAUCUACCCUCAACAGGAGGAUAGCUCCCCGAAAGGGGAAUUAAUACUCCAUAAGAUCACGGUCAGGCAUCUGAGAGUGAUUAAACUACAAGGGGUUGGGGAUGAGCAUGCGUUUGAUUAGUUAGUUGGUGAGGUAACGGCUCACCAAGACGAUGAUCAAUAGGGGAACUGAGAGGUUGAUCCCCCACACUGGCACUGAGAUACGGGCCAGACUCCUACGGGAGGCAGCAGUAGGGAAUAUUGGUCAAUGGGUGAGAGCCUGAACCAGCCAUGCCGCGUGCAGGAAGAAGGCCUUCUGGGUUGUAAACUGCUUUUGCCGGGGGAUAAAAUGGCUUUGCGAAGCUAAUUGAAGGUACCCGGUGAAUAAGCCACGGCUAACUACGUGCCAGCAGCCGCGGUAAUACGUAGGUGGCAAGCGUUGUCCGGAUUUAUUGGGUUUAAAGGGUGCGUAGGCGGUUCUUUAAGUCAGUGGUGAAAUACAGCCGCUUAACGGUUGAGGUGCCAUUGAUACUGAAGAACUUGGGUACAGACGAGGUAGGCGGAAUUGACGGUGUAGCGGUGAAAUGCUUAGAUAUCGUCAAGAACACCGAUAGCGAAGGCAGCUUACUAGACUGUAACUGACGCUGAGGCACGAAAGUGUGGGGAUCAAACAGGAUUAGAUACCCUGGUAGUCCACGCCGUAAACGAUGAUAACUAGCUGUCCGGGCUCUCAGAGCUUGGGUGGCGCAGCUAACGCAUUAAGUUAUCCGCCUGGGGAGUACGGUCGCAAGAUUAAAACUCAAAGGAAUUGACGGGGCCUGCACAAGCGGUGGAGCAUGUGGUUUAA
This 899-nucleotide ribosomal RNA is filed under the name uncultured bacterium. RNAcentral describes it as "bacterial SSU rRNA". It matches the Rfam family "Bacterial small subunit ribosomal RNA", at positions 53 to 949 of the family's 1533-position model. The record is from RNAcentral.